Molecule: ribosomal RNA, 524 nt
Filed under: uncultured bacterium
Lineage: Bacteria
Description: partial 16S ribosomal RNA
Rfam family: Bacterial small subunit ribosomal RNA
Source: RNAcentral
GACGAACGCUGGCGGCGUGCCUAAUACAUGCAAGUUGAGCGCAGGAAGCUGACGGAACUCUUCGGAGGGAAGGCAGUGGAAUGAGCGGCGGACAGGUGAGUAACACGUAAGGAACCUGCCUCAAGGAUUGGGAUAACUCCGAGAAAUCGGAGCUAAUACCGGAUAGUUCAACGGACCGCAUGGUCCGCUGAUGAAAGGCGCUCCGGCGUCACCUUGAGAUGGCCUUGCGGUGCAUUAGCUAGUUGGUGGGGUAACGGCUCACCAAGGCGACGAUGCAUAGCCGACCUGAGAGGGUGAUCGGCCACACUGGGACUGAGAAACGGCCCAGACUCCUACGGGAGGCAGCAGUAGGGAAUCUUCCACAAUGGACGAAAGUCUGAUGGAGCAACGCCGCGUGAGUGAUGAAGGUUUUCGGAUCGUAAAACUCUGUUGUAAGGGAAGAACACGUACGAGAGGAAAUGCUCGUACCUUGACGGUACCUUACGAGAAAGCCACGGCUAACUACGUGCCAGCAGCCGCCGUAA